This 80-nucleotide transfer RNA is filed under the name Hepatozoon canis. RNAcentral describes it as "tRNA-Met". It matches the Rfam family "tRNA". From Rfam's summary of the family: Transfer RNA (tRNA) molecules are approximately 80 nucleotides in length. Their secondary structure includes four short double-helical elements and three loops (D, anti-codon, and T loops). The record is from RNAcentral. Lineage: Eukaryota; Apicomplexa; Hepatozoidae.
AAGGUGAGGUAGAGUAAUAUGGUAUUAACUCGUCGGGGUCAUAAUCCGAAAAUUAUUGGUUCGAAUCCAUUCCACACCUU